Molecule: long non-coding RNA, 2353 nt
Organism: Chelonia mydas (Green sea turtle)
Lineage: Eukaryota; Metazoa; Chordata; Testudines; Cheloniidae
Exons: 3
Source: RefSeq, a predicted model, not a curated record
CAGUGGGUUAACCAGCCCUGGAAGUUCAGUCCACUGAAAGGUAGAGAGGUUUGAGGUUGGACGUUACAUACUUAGAAAAAAAAAUCAUGUUUUUACUAAUACUAUAGUGCUAUGCAGUCAAAGCAUCUUUCAUAUGAGGUUCUCAAAGCGUUUGACCAACUUUAACUAACCAUUUCUCACAGUACCCCUAUCUGGUUGGUAACUAUUCAGUUUCCUCUUGGUUUUGGAAGUACUUCUCUGGAUACCUGUCCACACUAGAGGCAAAGUACUUUAGUUGUGUGAUAGUACAAAACUGAUGUCCUAAACCUUUGCUUUUCCGUUAUAACGUUUGCAUGUCUCCAGAAGCACAGUUUGCUAGCUGACUCUGGUCUGUAUUCCCAUUGCAGGUUUUUUCUCCUGGUUUUUUUUUUUUCUUUAACAUUCCUCCCUUUUUCUUCUUUUUUGAUCAGGGUUUUGUGGAAAGAAAUGGGGAAUUGUAACAGGUGGCAUAUUGCUUAGGUGCUGGAGGGUCUGCGGCUGGCCCACCCUGAUUACUAAAGAGACACACCUGGGUUGGAUCAGGUAAUUCUCUACAAAGGGCAGCAGAUGGCUGCAGUAUAGAGUGAAGUGCAGGAAGUAAACAAGGUGUCUGUGGGAAAGACCCUUAUAGCAGGGGGUGGGGUAUUAGCUAGAGUUAGAAACAUGAGGCUCCAGCCAUGGAGGGAGUGGCCUGCCAAAGCAGAAAAGACUAGAGGCCUGGGAAUAGGGUGUUGCUGGUAGUAUAAGGAAACUGUGGCCAGAGAGCUGAGCUCCUGUCCCAAAGGACUGGGACUGGUAGCUUUGGGUGGAGCAGACUGGGCUGAAGGAAGAACUCCCUGUGUGGGAGAAGAGCCUAGGCUAAUAAACUUUAGUUACUGAAGUAAUUGGCCGGGUUGUCUUUAGUGAGAUCCUGAGCAUCUAGUCCUGGGAUAUUGCCACAGGUGUUGAGUACAGAGCACUGCAGUGUGCUGUACUAGCAAGGGUUCCAGCCAAAGGCCGUUGGGGAAACAUCAGCCAGCGCAGGACAUGAUAACCUGCUUGUUCAGUGAUGGGUCUCAGAGGGAGUCCAUUACGCUUAUGCGUCAUGAUGUGCAUUUCUGUAUCUCCCCAGUAGUAUUCAGGUGCAGUGCAAGGGCUUUAGUUUUGACAUGACAACCCCAUGGUUUAAAUCAGAGGAGCAGGUGGUUGGACAUGCUCCAUGAGGGAACCAUGACUUUGGAAUCCUGCUGUCCCUUUUCGUCCAAGAGAGCCUGGAUUUAAUGACUUUCAGAUUAGGCCACAAGGCCUAUCUUUUCUUCUCUUAGGUGUCAGUGGAAGAAGAUGCUGAUAAGAUGGAUUUGGGGGGAAGGAUUUUGUUGUGAUCAGGGUUGGGCAAUUUUUCUUCCAGAAUUCCUUUUUUUUUUUUUUUUUUUUUUUUUUUUUGAGAUGUUCAUCCACUGAAUGAUGGAAAUGGCUCCUGGGCUGGGUCAUGGGGAUGUCAGCAGCUUCUGGAGUGUAAUGAAGUAAAUGUGUCUUGUACUCCCAAACUUUACAAAAAGCAGUAUUUAGCUAAUUGAAGUCAAUGGGCUCCUAAGCCUUUUUGCUUUCUCAUUGUUUUGCAUGGGAGCGAUUACAAAUGCAGUGACCAUCUGCCUAAUAUUUCCAUCUUUUGCCCUGUAAUAUGCCAUCCUCUCCAAACUGCAUUGAGUGGAAGGAAACCAAAAGAUAUCUGUAAAGUUGGUUUUAAUGCAUUUUUUAAAAACAACUAAUAUAAAUCCCCACUCAAUUGCAAUGGGUUUUUGUAUUGCAGGCCUGAUGCUGCUUUUCCUGGAGAGGAAAAAAAAAAAAACACACACAGUGAGCACUGCAAAUGGAAUGUUAUCCUGAACCCAUAAUCCAGCUGCUCAUUCCCCAUACAGAUUAAUUCUACAUCUGGAAUCAUCUAGAUAGUGAAAGAUGAGGCAGGAAAUGAAUAUGGUAAAACUUCCUUCCCAUGCGUUUGGACAGCCGGCUCCAAUCUGUAAUGUCUCCUCCAUUGUACCCUCUGUGCGACGUGCACAGGCAGGGGAAAAAUGAAUGAAAACCUGGAAAUGCCAAGUAACAAUGCCUGAUCUAGUGUCCUGCUGGGGCUUUGAGACACAAUCCAGCUGCACUCCCCAACCUGGAGGUAUGCCACAAAACUGCACAAAGUCCCUCCUUGCUGCACAUCAAAUUGUGGGUUGGCAUAGCAGCUGCUUUUCCUUUCUCACUAGUACUGUGCAAGAGCAUAUCAUGCACUGAACAUUGCACCUUCUCCCCCAGUAACCCACCCUGGGUGGAGUCGGUGCACAGGAUGUGUUGGUCAAGGGGUUCUCAA